AUUGAACGCUGGCGGCAUGCCUUACACAUGCAAGUCGAACGGCAGCACGGGUGCUUGCACCUGGUGGCGAGUGGCGAACGGGUGAGUAAUACAUCGGAACAUGUCCUGUAGUGGGGGAUAGCCCGGCGAAAGCCGGAUUAAUACCGCAUACGAUCUACGUAUGAAAGCGGGGGACCUUCGGGCCUCGCGCUAUAGGGUUGGCCGAUGGCUGAUUAGCUAGUUGGUGGGGUAAAGGCCUACCAAGGCGACGAUCAGUAGCUGGUCUGAGAGGACGACCAGCCACACUGGGACUGAGACACGGCCCAGACUCCUACGGGAGGCAGCAGUGGGGAAUUUUGGACAAUGGGCGAAAGCCUGAUCCAGCAAUGCCGCGUGUGUGAAGAAGGCCUUCGGGUUGUAAAGCACUUUUGUCCGGAAAGAAAUACUUGGCCCUAAUACGGUCGGGGGAUGACGGUACCGGAAGAAUAAGCACCGGCUAACUACGUG
This 486-nucleotide ribosomal RNA is filed under the name uncultured bacterium. RNAcentral describes it as "partial 16S ribosomal RNA". It matches the Rfam family "Bacterial small subunit ribosomal RNA", at positions 30 to 507 of the family's 1533-position model. The record is from RNAcentral.